AAAAUCCUCCUUUCCCAUUUCUUCUCCAUCUUCCAAUUUUCACUUCCCCCCCUCCCCCUCCCCUCCUUCUUCUCCCUUCCACUAAUUUUCACAUUUUUUGGAUUAUUACAAUUCUCUAGAACAAAAGAAGAGUGUUCGCAAUCAAAUCAAUUUUCAACCUCUUAUAGUGUAAAGACAAAAGGACGCUAAAUCAACAAAAUCUAAUCGUUAAUUCUCAAUAGAUCUCGGUAUCCUUCCCUCCAAGAACUCCUCACCUUGGCUUUUGGGGUGACUCGAACUCACAAGUUCUUGAUUGGAAGUGGAACUCUCUUACCAUCAGAGCAACGC
This 327-nucleotide long non-coding RNA is filed under the name Nicotiana benthamiana. RNAcentral describes it as "long non-coding RNA (NBEN_LNC019404)". Lineage: Eukaryota; Viridiplantae; Streptophyta; Magnoliopsida; Solanales; Solanaceae. The record is from RNAcentral.